CUUGAUCAUAUGAUGAAAUAUUUCGGAUGUAAACUCACAGACCUGUUCGGAAUGCGCAAAACCGUGUCGAGAUUUUCCGUUGCCUUCCUUCUGACUGAUCAA
This 102-nucleotide small nucleolar RNA is filed under the name Penicillium oxalicum 114-2. Its description in RNAcentral is "Small nucleolar RNA Z13/snr52". It matches the Rfam family "Small nucleolar RNA Z13/snr52". From Rfam's summary of the family: Z13 or snr52 is a member of the C/D class of snoRNA which contain the C (UGAUGA) and D (CUGA) box motifs. Most of the members of the box C/D family function in directing site-specific 2'-O-methylation of substrate RNAs. The record is from Rfam by way of RNAcentral. Lineage: Eukaryota; Fungi; Ascomycota; Eurotiomycetes; Eurotiales; Aspergillaceae.